UACAGAGGUCCCAAGCGUUGUUCGGAAUCACUGGGCGUAAAGGGCGCGUAGGCGGCGCGGAAAGUCAGGGGUGAAAUCCCGGAGCUCAACUCCGGAACUGCCUUUGAUACUCCCGGGCUUGAGAACUGGAGGGGAGACCGGAAUUCACGGUGGAGCAGUGAAAUGCGUGGAUAUCGUGAGGAACACUAGUGGCGAAGGCGGGUCUCUGGACAGUAUCUGACGCUGAGGCACGAAGGCCAGGGGAGCGAACGGG
Molecule: ribosomal RNA, 253 nt
Filed under: uncultured bacterium
Lineage: Bacteria
Description: partial 16S ribosomal RNA
Rfam family: Bacterial small subunit ribosomal RNA
Source: RNAcentral